AUGUCGGUGACUUCCAACACCCCGACGAGGGCCAACUCGCGAGUGAACUACUCGAACGAGAUCCACGACCUGUCCACGGUGCAGGACGGCGCCCCCAGCCUCGCCCCCAGCAUGUACUACCAGGAGAAGUCCUUCGCCGACUUCUUCCCUCCCCACCUCGGCAAGAAGGUGAUAUCGGAGAUGGUGGCGACGUUCCUGCUGGUGUUCGUGACGUGCGGGGCGGCGUCCAUCUACGGCGCCGACGUGACGCGCGUCUCGCAGCUGGGCCAGUCCGUCGUCGGCGGCCUCAUCGUCACCGUCAUGAUCUACGCCACCGGGCACAUCUCCGGCGCGCACAUGAACCCCGCCGUCACGCUCUCCUUCGCCUGCUUCCGGCAUUUCCCCUGGAUUCAGGUGCCGUUCUACUGGGCGGCGCAGUUCACGGGGGCGAUGUGCGCCGCGUUCGUGCUGCGGGCGGUGCUGCACCCGAUCACGGUGCUGGGGACGACGACGCCCACGGGGCCGCACUGGCACGCCCUCGUUAUCGAGAUCAUCGUCACCUUCAACAUGAUGUUCAUCACCUGCGCCGUCGCCACGGAUUCGAGGGCGGUGGGUGAGUUGGCGGGGUUAGCAGUUGGUUCCGCGGUUUGCAUUACGUCCAUCUUCGCAGGGCCUGUGUCAGGAGGAUCGAUGAACCCGGCGAGGACUCUGGCGCCGGCGGUGGCCAGCGGCGUCUACACCGGCCUCUGGAUCUACUUUCUUGGCCCCGUCAUCGGCACUCUCUCCGGUGCCUGGGUCUACACCUACAUCCGCUUCGAGGAGGAGCCCUCCGUCAAGGACGGCCCGCAGAAGCUCUCCUCCUUCAAGCUCCGCCGCCUGCAGAGCCAGCGGUCCAUGGCCGUCGACGAGUUCGACCACGUCUGA
This 903-nucleotide ribosomal RNA is filed under the name Triticum aestivum (bread wheat). RNAcentral describes it as "partial small subunit ribosomal RNA". The record is from RNAcentral. Lineage: Eukaryota; Viridiplantae; Streptophyta; Magnoliopsida; Poales; Poaceae.